ACCUAAACAGGAUCGUGAGCGAGCUGCAGAAGGACGAAGAAGCCACGUGCACGGGUAUGGACAUUGUGAAGAAGAUAACACUUCUGGAUGCUAUCCGCUGGGCUGACAAAGCAUGGAAGGAGACCAUCAACAAGUGCUUCGGGAAAGCUGGCUUCAUCUCCCCAAGCCUGGUUAGGUGAAGUUCUCUUGGAAUACCUGAUAGAGGAGUUAUUAAUAAAAUAAAAGUGUGGCUGGUGUGUCACCUCUCCAGUCACCGCAUCACAGGCAGGAAUGGACAACCAGGCCGGCUUAGCAACCCCCAGGCAAACACGUGGCUAAACACACUGAAGACAAACGCUACCACCUGAAACGACACCUUAAACACGGUGGAGAAAAAAGUAUAAGUGUGAGAAAUGUGAGUAUCAUGCCGCAAGGCAAACACAGUCGGGGAAGACCAAAGAGGACUACGAAGCGGCAAGGAUAAAUUCAUUCAUGAUUAGAUCAUCCGGGAGGUGGUUCGAUUCCUGCCAUCACCACAACGCGUCCGGGCUGUUGUCUUCGACUACGAGCAGGCCAUGCGGAUAGCGUUCGACCGAGUUUUCCCGACAUUAAGAGGAGAGGAUGCUCAUUUCACUGGGGGAAGUGUGUAUUCAGCCAUAUCAAGGAGAUCGGUCUCCAAGCAGCCUACAACAGGGGGAGGGGUGCGCACACCUUCAUGAGGAAGCUGUUGGCCCUACAGCCCGGCCCGCCACAUCCCUGAGACUCUGGAACAUCUGCGGAUGGCACAGACGCACAGCGCCCCAACCUCGGAUUCUAGUGGUUCAUACCUCAUACAAGUCCAAUAUGACACGGCACUUGAAAAAAAAA
Branchiostoma belcheri (Belcher's lancelet) is the source of this 846-nucleotide long non-coding RNA. RefSeq lists it as uncharacterized. The transcript has 5 exons. The record is from RefSeq and is a predicted model, not a curated record. NCBI's taxonomy places the organism in Eukaryota, Metazoa, Chordata, Leptocardii, Amphioxiformes, Branchiostomatidae.